GGUGCAUAGAUCGCUUUUCUUAGAAUAAAUGAGUCUCGAGUCUAUACUGUAGGGAUACUAGAGUGAGAGUGUGGAUAUUUGUUAGAUAACAAAGAUAUCGAGCAUGACUAACAUGAGAAGUCACUUGGAUAUCUACUCACUCAUCAGUGACUUUCUCGAUGCUGUAGUAGUGUGAGUGAUUCUUUGAUCUGCAGUAUCUCAACUGUUUAUAAUGAGAUUGCUGUAGUUUGACUAUACAUAACUCAAUCUCUUAGCCAUAUGAAGUCUUGAGGUGUAUGUUGACUGCAAUAAAUUUUUUGUAGGAAUAAGAUGUGCAUCUAAAUAGAAUCUAUCAACUUUAGUAGAAAAGGAG
RNAcentral lists this long non-coding RNA (352 nucleotides) under Elaeis guineensis (African oil palm). Its description in RNAcentral is "long non-coding RNA (EGUI_LNC028097)". Lineage: Eukaryota; Viridiplantae; Streptophyta; Magnoliopsida; Arecales; Arecaceae. The record is from RNAcentral.